GGAGUUUGGGCCGUGUCUCAGUCCCAAUGUGGCCGGUCACCCUCUCAGGUCGGCUAUGGAUCAUCACCUUGGUGGGCCGUUACCUCACCAACUAGUUAAUCCGACGCGGGCCCAUCCUCCACCGAUAAAUCUUUCCGCCCAGGACCAUGCGGUCCCGUGCGCAUAUGCGGUAUUAGCAGUCGUUUCCAACUGGUAUCCCCCGGAAUGGGGCAGGUUCCCCACGCGUUACUCACCCGUCCGCCACUCGGUUAAAACUGCUUCCAUCCGAAAACUUCCGCUGUAAUAACCUCGUUCGACUUGCAUGUGUUAAGCACGCCGCCAGCGUUCAUC
Molecule: ribosomal RNA, 330 nt
Filed under: uncultured Lachnospiraceae bacterium
Lineage: Bacteria; Bacillati; Bacillota; Clostridia; Lachnospirales; Lachnospiraceae
Description: partial 16S ribosomal RNA
Source: RNAcentral